AGAAAGAAAGAAAGAAAGAAAGAAAGAAAAAGAAAGAAGGAAAGAAGGGGAGAUG
Molecule: non-coding RNA, 55 nt
Filed under: Pseudopedinella elastica
Lineage: Eukaryota; Dictyochophyceae; Pedinellales
Source: RNAcentral